UACGUAGGGUGCAAGCGUUAAUCGGAAUUACUGGGCGUAAAGCGUGCGCAGGCGGUUGUGCAAGACAGAUGUGAAAUCCCCGGGCUUAACCUGGGAACUGCACUUGUGACUGCACGGCUAGAGUGCGGCAGAGGGGGAUGGAAUUCCGCGUGUAGCAGUGAAAUGCGUAGAUAUGCGGAGGAACACCGAUGGCGAAGGCAAUCCCCUGGGCCUGCACUGACGCUCAUGCACGAAAGCGUGGGGAGCAAACAGG
This 253-nucleotide ribosomal RNA is filed under the name uncultured bacterium. RNAcentral's name for it is "partial 16S ribosomal RNA". It matches the Rfam family "Bacterial small subunit ribosomal RNA", at positions 524 to 776 of the family's 1533-position model. The record is from RNAcentral.